UAGGGAAUCUUCCACAAUGGACGAAAGUCUGAUGGAGCAACGCCGCGUGAGUGAAGAAGGGUUUCGGCUCGUAAAACUCUGUUGUUAAAGAAGAACAUAUCUGAGAGUAACUGUUCAGGUAUUGACGGUAUUUAACCAGAAAGCCGCGGCUAACUACGUGUCAG
This 164-nucleotide ribosomal RNA is filed under the name uncultured bacterium. RNAcentral describes it as "partial 16S ribosomal RNA". It matches the Rfam family "Bacterial small subunit ribosomal RNA", at positions 355 to 511 of the family's 1533-position model. The record is from RNAcentral.